RNAcentral lists this small RNA (226 nucleotides) under Olea europaea subsp. europaea. Lineage: Eukaryota; Viridiplantae; Streptophyta; Magnoliopsida; Lamiales; Oleaceae. The record is from RNAcentral.
GCCUCUUUUCUCAAGCGGCGGCAGCCGCUGCAGCAACGCAUCGCGCUGCCACAGCAGUAGCAGACGCCGCUACCGGCGGCGUCUGCUGCUGCUUUUAACAGCGGCGGAUGCCGCUGCUACUUUUAGCAGCGGUGUCUGCCGUAGCAGUCGCAUCUGCCGCCGGUAUUGGCGCCAUCGCCGGCAGCAACUGUUGCUGCCGGCAUCAACGUAUAUUUAAAUUUUUUUU